UUCCAUGUCUUUCAACACCACAACUGCAGCCACAUCUGUCAGUUUCUGCCAACUGACAGAAUCAAGGAAGUGUGAUUGAUUCACAAUCUCUUCGAGAUGGUAACUAUUUAAUUUCAUCAUAAUUAUUCAAUUAUUAUUAUUUAUUGCUGUAGUUUGUAAUGUCAUUUAUGUUUCAAAAUAAAUUCUGCACAAAAAUCUACAAGUUAUUUGAGAAUUUAGAAAGAAGAAUCAUGUUGAAACUGGACCAAAUCCAAAACAACAUUACAUCAGUGGUUGAAACAAUGCAGCAAUCAAUGAACCAGCCAAGCACCUCUGUCUCCGAUCUCACAGAGGUGCUAGAGAAACCAUGCAAGACUGUAGAGGAAUUAGAGGAGUUGUGUGAUAAGCUGAAAGAUGCUCAAUUUCGAAAGAAGAUGAUUCGUUAUCUGUGUCUUCAGAGUGGAGGGAGCUUGGGAGAAGGAAUUAGGAGGAUGCUGAAAAAAUUGGAGAUAAUUCCUUAUGGGGAUAUUACAGUUACAAAGGGAGAAAGGGAAAACUUAAAUUUCAGCAGCUCCUCAUCAAUGAUGUCUUCAUACGUGCCUGCAGCAAGGCAUACCCAAACCAAAAAUCCCAGAGUGUGGAAGAGAUGAUUGCUGUCACCCUAAAACAUGCCCCGGAUCGUGAAAAAACAGUUAAUCAGUGAACUGCACUGGUCAGCAGAAGGUUGCUGGAUCAAUCUCCGCAGUCGUCUCCACCGGUGUGUCUUUACUCCAGGUGACUCCAGAGGAUUGAGGUCCCUUUAAUAAGAGCACUGUAAGUCACUUCAGAUAAAAGCAUAUGUCAAAUUAAUAAAUGUAAAUGUGAUUUUUGUAAAUACUUGUUUGUGUCUUGGGCACAAACGCUCAAUAAAGCUACUACUAUAAUAUUAAUGCAUGCUUAUAUUUCAUACAGUUUCUAUUUGGGGCUUUAAAGGUUAUGUUUAAAUCUAAACAUAAAUUCAGUCAUUAUUUACUCGCCUCCAUGCUGUUCAAUCCUUGUGUGUGUGUGUGUGUGUGUGUGUGUGUGUGUGUGUGUGUGUGUGUGUGUGUUUUCCUGAUCACAAAAGGUGAUUUUGUUCAAGUUUCUCCUGCUGGUUUGUGUUCAUACAGUAUCAGUCAAUGGAGCCUGACUUUCAGAUUCUUCGUAACAUUAUUUGAUGAUGCUUUUGAAGCUUCUGAAACUCGGCUUUCAUUGACUGAUGUUGUAUGAACAGAAAGCAGCAGAACAAACUUGACAAAAAUCACAUCCUAAAUGUCUUUUGGUCUUUCUCUAGAUGCUCUCGCUGCUCUGGGCUCACUGAGGAUGAAGAGACCACAGCAACAUCCGGUCCUGAUGAGAAAACAAGGGCAGUGAUGGAGCAUUUCAUCCAUGACACUGGACCAUUUCCAGGAUGAUGCUGUGUACUUCUCCAUCCUCACUGCUCACAGCAGUCUGCAGACAUUUCAGAUCCUGCAAAGAUGCACAAACAAAAAACAAAAGCAGUCAUUUUAACAGCACAAUGUCAUUUGAUUUCUGUAUUAGAAGUAACAAAAUGAUCUUACUUUAUAUUUUUGUUUCAGGUUUUACCUUUUUUCCACAAAUGCUGCAGUCACCUGAUCCGCCACAAAAGAUCUGCAGCAAAUGCACAGGAAUCAAGAAUCAGAAAAGUGCUGUAAUAACUCUUUGAAAUUACAAUAAUUAAAAUAAAGUACAACUUAAGAUUUAAAAGAUGUUUUAUUGAUGACUGUAGUGUACUCACUGAGUCUUUGAUGGAAGCAUUCCUUUAUCAGUCUCUCUUCAGCAGAUAAACACACGUGUGUCUCAUCUGUCCCUGUAACAUCCAGACAAGAGUCAGUCUUCUCUGUGAUUUAUCUGUGAUAUACUGCAUUUACAGUAACUCACUUUUUAUCCAACACAAAUGUUCCUCAAUUUAUCAACAAUACUAAUGGUCAAAUGAAAUAGAUAACUUAUGUUUACUUACUCUAUGUAGAUUUGUUUGUUUACAUUACUUUCAUUCAUCUAAAGCAGUGUUUACAGUGAAUUCUACAUAAUAGCACACACACAUCUCUCACUCAGAUGUCUGUUCAUGUUGUGAUUUGCUCAUCUACAAUGUUCUUAGAACAUUUUCCUGUCUCAUAUUAAAUAGACAUUUAAUCGUCUUUAAGAUGUAUAUGGUUUAUGUAAAUUUACUUUGGAGAUGUACAUGUGCUUACUGGAGCUCUGCUGUUCGCCAUACAUAAAAUGUUUAUACAGAAAAAAAAAAAUUACAAAUAUACUGUAACGUUACUGGCUGGCGUCUUUACACCUUAACAAAUCAACAGUUUACUCUACAGUAGCUCAACAAAUAUGAUUUUAACACAUGGGAACCAUGUUUUGGUUUAUAAUACUCACCUUUAUAAACCCUCGUCGCUGCUCUCCUUCACGUUCCAUGAGGACGUAUCCUCUCGCUUGGCAUCCUGGGAUUGGGAAUACUGCGGUUUCGAAUGUACUUCUUACUUCACAUACUCUUUUUCCCUACUAUAUAGUAGGUAAGUAGGCAUAUUAGAAUGCAAAUUAAGUAUACGUACGUCCGAAUCUCGCAAGAAUUAGUGCAAUUCUUGCCUACUCUUUUAUGAACACUGAGGAUUCAAACAUACUCGCCUACUGCUUUUUGCAUACUAUAUAGUAUGUGUGACUGAUGACAUCAGAGGGUUGUGAUUGGUUGACUGAAAUGUUAAUCCAGGAUCACUUAUGCCUCAUUUUUCUUUCACUGCAAACAUGUUUUUUUCUUUCAAGCAAUACUUGGUGUGAUAUUUUUACAUCUAUCCUUUGGAAAUUAACAUUGGACGAUAAUAAAAAUGCGAAUAAAACAAAGUUAAUGACAAAGUUGUGACUUUAUAAACAUUUGCCAGUCAAUUUGUGUAGAAAAUACUUCAUACAUCCACUAGAAAUCACCAAAACACCAGCUGAUGCAAUCACAUCGAGCAAAAAUGAAGAACGUGAACAUUAGUGAAAAGAUUCUGCAAAAAAAAAAUCCUUAAAUUAAUGUUCAGAUAUAUAAAGUGUGCCUUAAGUGUCUAAGAAGUUAAUUGACAGCAUUUUACAGUAUGUCAUACACUGAAGAUAAUCAACAUGAUUUCACAAAAUAACAGUAACAAUACAUUCAUGCUUAUGGCAGAUGCUUUUAUUCAAAGCGAUUUACAUUGGAUUCAAGGUGUACAUUUAAUAUGUGUACGUUUUACAAGACUGUGCCUUGCAAAAAAUGAAAAAAGCUUUAUCAAGAUGAUUUAUAUCCAAUUUAAACAUGACAUAGCAAUAUUUUGGUUAAAAAGAAUGGUUAAAAGCAACAUUUCAAAGCUCUUCACUCCCAUCGUGAUGAAAUCAGAUCAUGCUCUUUAAAAGCAAGGCUGUGGACUUGUGUUCAUAUCAAUAUGUUGACCAUGAUAGUGCACAGGUAGAUUCUUCUCACAUUUAACAAUUAUGUACAUUAUAUUUGCCUGAAGUACAGUUUCCAAUGAUAAACUGUGGUUCUAUUCCCUUAGUGCUUUUAACAAUGUACACUUCAAAGAGAUCUGUACUUUUGGUAUAGUUCUUUUUUUUUUUUUUUCACCAGAGCCAGUACAGAUUUGUUUGAUAUUUUCCUAUCUGCUCUUGAUGAAUGAUUGUGUUUCAGUUCUUUCACAGAGUUUAUUAUUCAAUAAAUGCUUCCUCCAAGCAAGUAUAUCCUUGGUAUUAAACCGAAUAGGGAGAAUGUGUUUUUUCUUGAAUUCAGUAAAGCUCUGACAGUCUGCUGCAUCACUGAGAGCCAGAAUGAAGAGCAAGAGAAGUGCGACUGAUCUCAUCCUGAGACAAACAGGAGAAAAGAGUAAAAUUUUUGUUUAAUAUUUUUGAAAGAAGAUUCUCUGCAUUUUUCUUUGAUAAACUGUCAAAAACAUUAAUAUUGUGGAAUUCCAAUUUAAAAUCAUUUUGUUUGAUUAUCAGAUGUUUAGAUGUAAUUGUUUCUGUGAGUCAAAGUUCAUUUUGAUUGGUCAUUACUCCAGUCUUCAGUGUCAUAUGAUCAGUGUUGGGGAGUAACGGAAUACAUGUACCGGCGUUACGUAUUCAGAAUACAAAUUAUGAGUAACUGUAUUCCGUUACAGUUACAAUUUAAAUAGUUGGUAUUUAGAAUACAGUUACAUUGUUGAAAUCAAUGGAUUACAUGAGGAUACUUCUCUGUUUCACAAUCUCUAAAUAACGUUUAUAUAUAUAUAAAAAAAAAUUAAAAUAAAUUAAGGCAACUUCAUGCAUUUCCCAGAAGCCCCAAUAUAAAAACGAAAAAAUGCGCGGUUUGCGUGAUCAGUCACAUGGAGUCGGAAGAGGAGCAGCGGGAGCUCAGCUACAGGUAGAGAUGGAGCCGAAACAACAGAGCCAGGGCAAGAAUGCGUUUAUAUCUUGGAAAUUUAAACAGCAUUUCACACUAAAAAAAGAGGGAGAACGAAAUAUAUCUGUGCAAUGCAACCUCUGCUUACCAGCAACCAACCUCCUUUCAGCGUCCAAAGACUCCACUUCCAACCUGAAGAAGCAUCUUAAA
Cyprinus carpio carpio is the source of this 4546-nucleotide long non-coding RNA. Lineage: Eukaryota; Metazoa; Chordata; Actinopteri; Cypriniformes; Cyprinidae. The record is from Ensembl.